GUGCAGCAGUCGAGAAACUUCACACUGUGCGAAAGCACGAUGAGGGAAUCCCAAGUGCUUGCACGUAAGUGUAAGCUGUUUCUCUGUCUAAAACGCAGAGAGAGUAAGGGCUGGGUAAGACGGGUGCCAGCCGCCGCGGUAAUACCUGCAGCUCAAGUGGUGACCGUUAUUAUUGGGCCUAAAACGUCCGUAGCCGGUUUAAUAAAUGCCUGGGUAAAUUGUGUAGCUUAACUAUACGAAUUCCGGGUAGACUGUUAAACUUGAGACCGGGAGAAGUUAGAGGUACUCCUGGGGUAGAGGUGAAAUUCUGUAAUCCUAGGGGGACCACCAGUGGCGAAGGCGUCUAACUAGAACGGGUCUGACGGCGAGGGACGAAGCCCUGGGGCGCAAACGGGGAUUAGAUACCCGGUAGU
This 413-nucleotide ribosomal RNA is filed under the name uncultured microorganism. RNAcentral's name for it is "bacterial SSU rRNA". It matches the Rfam family "Archaeal small subunit ribosomal RNA", at positions 330 to 745 of the family's 1478-position model. The record is from RNAcentral.